UUUGAGCCAAGUUAUGAUGAUUUAAAGUUGAUGGCCUAGAAAACCAAAAUUU
Molecule: non-coding RNA, 52 nt
Organism: Caenorhabditis elegans
Lineage: Eukaryota; Metazoa; Nematoda; Chromadorea; Rhabditida; Rhabditidae
Source: Ensembl